AGUUUGUAGGUUAGGUGAGCAUAUUGACUGUAAUGAUCUUUUGAUAAGAGAAGAAGUCUAACAAAAGUAAAUUAGAGUUAAAUUUUAAAAAUAAAAAUUUUUUGUUAUUAAUGAGAUAUAAGGUAUGGUUUGUUGAAUUGGGAAAGGUGUUUAAAUUAAAUAUUAGUAAGUUUAUGUACCUUUGGUAUCAGGGUUUAUAGAUUUCUAAAACUAUUAUGUUAUUCCCGAAUAGAUACGAUUUAAUUAGAUGAAUUUAAUUGUAGCAAAAAUUUUUUAAAUUUUAAUUAGAAGUGACAAGCUUAUCGGGUGUCUAGAUCUGGUUUCUUAGUUUCUGCUUAAGGCUAAUUUUCUUACGAAAUUUUAUAUCUAUAAAAGAUUAGUUUUAUAGGGACCAAUAAAAGUAAAGAAAAUUUUGUUUCAUUUGUUUAAGUAAGAUAAAAUUAAAAAUUUAUAAUUUUAGUUAUAAUUAUAAAAUUAGUAUUAAGAAAAAAUUUGGGGUUUUAACUCGACAAAGUUAUCAAAACCAGUUUACCAAAAACAUGUCCCUCUUUAAUUUCUUGGGUCGGCCCUGCUCACUGAAUUUUAAAGAGCCGCUUUAGUGUUAAAGUAGCAUAAUCAAUUGUCCUCUUAUUAAGGUCUAGAAUGAACGGGAGAAUUAUUGAUAAAUUAUAUACACUGAAAUUUAAAAAAUUAAAUUUUAAUUUAUAAUGCUUAAAUUAAUUAAGGGGACGAGAAGACCCUAGGAUCUUUACAGUUGCAAAUUUUAACUGUUUAGUUGGGGAAAUUAGAAAAAUAAACUUUUCUAGAUUUAAACAUUAUAGAUGUUUGUUUAAGAUUAAAGUAAAUUAAGAUAAAAUUACCCUAGGGAUAACAGCGCCAUAACAAGUCAGAUGAUCAGAAUUUUACUUGUGAUUGCGACCUCGAUGUUGAAUUAAAAUUAGAGGCCUGGAAGUUCAGGCCUGAUUCAGUCUGUUCGACUGGUUAAUUUUACAUGAUUUGAGUUCAGACCGACGUAAGUCAGGUUAGUUUCUAUCUCUUAUUUUCACCCAGGAGUACGAAAGGAGAAUGAGGUAGUGAUUAAAUU
Molecule: ribosomal RNA, 1084 nt
Filed under: Liposcelis bostrychophila
Lineage: Eukaryota; Metazoa; Arthropoda; Insecta; Psocodea; Liposcelididae
Description: 16S ribosomal RNA
Source: RNAcentral